RNAcentral lists this unclassified non-coding RNA (1884 nucleotides) under Leishmania donovani. RNAcentral's name for it is "gene:unknown". The record is from RNAcentral. Lineage: Eukaryota; Euglenozoa; Kinetoplastea; Trypanosomatida; Trypanosomatidae.
GUCGAGCUCAACGACGGGCCGCCCUCCUCCCCAUUCGCCACAGCCCAUCUUGUUGUCAAUGUUCAACUGUGCGUGUCUGUCUGCGUGUCGAGAUGUGACACGGACCCCUUCCUGCGUGCCAAAGGACAAAGGAAAUAGGCACCGGUGGCGGCAGCGACAAGAAACGAACUGUCUUCGCCAUCACUGGGCCAGCUGAGAAGACACAGCUGCUGUGGCCGAGGUGGCGCAGUUCUCACAGGGCAGCCAGCAUGGAUCGCAGUGCAACAACAGCCGCCCGCAAAACCAGCAGCAGCAGUAGCAGCGCCCGCAAGCGUAGCGCCGACGACUAUUCGGCGAAUAGGAGAGACAAGGCGCCGGAGCAUAUCACUCUCACGGGCUUCAUGAGGUGCGCCCCAGCAAUGACUCUGGUGACGCGGCUGUCCGCUUCUUUUCGGUCGCCGACGAGUCGGUGGACGUUGUGGCGAAGGCAGCAAUCAAUUCUUUUGGCGGCUGCGUCGUCCGUAGCCGCCACUCGCGCCUGAGCAUGCGCCCACUCGUCCCGGGUCAGGCCCUGCCGUAGAGAGACAGCAACGGCGACGACGCUGGCAACACCCCGCUGGUGGUGAAGACGGGGCGGGAUGUGAAGGAAGAGGGGUACAGCUACAAGCACCUCUGGCGAGUGCGGUAUAGCAUCCCUCCUUCCAUCUGGAUCGACAGCAAGAGGGCGUCGCUGGUGAUGCUGAACCCGUGCAUAUUGGCCUUCAGUGACUGCAUCAAGUCGCGUUUGAAGGCUGGCUCGCUGCUAGGAGUCACUGGCAUCUCAAGCACGAAGGUAUUCCUGGGUCACCAGCUGUGCGGCAGCAUCAUAGUCGGGCAAGGCGCUGUUUGGAUGACCACCUGGGGCAUGCUCGUGUCCUUCUUCACUGGCUUCCGCUCCCUCCCGCUUAUGAUAGCCCACAUUACCAUUGAUCAGUUGAGGUGUCCGCACUCCUCGCCGUCUGUGUGAGCAUGACCGCCAACUUUGGCGCUGACUUCGUGUUCACCUCGUUCUUUGCGCUGUCCCAAGGCGUGUGUGCCGUACCCGCUGUUGAGGUCGUGCCGCACCGGCGAGCUCUUCGAGCGGGCGUGGCAGCAGGUAGCGACUAUCCGCACGAAUCACCGCGCUGGUGUGUGGUCGGAUCGCACCUCCCCCCUGCCAGCGUGGCAGGCCGCCGAAGUCGCCUGCGACGACCUCGAGGGCGGUGCUGCCUAGCAUCCGUGGGCUUCUCUUCUUUACCGUAAGAGGCCUGUGGCGUCUGCGCAACGAGCUGCACAACGACUGGCUGUCGCUGCAGGAGCAGCUGUUGGUCCUUCUGAGCGCCACAGGCACAGGCAGGCGCCGCUUUUCUCGUCUUCUGCUGCCAAGCGACGAAGCGAGUGUGAGCAGGGAAAGAUAAACGCGUCUCGGUCUUCGUCGUGCCCGUCCCCGGACCUCCUCUUCCUCACAGAUGGUGUGGAUGCUGCUCGUGUCUGUGUGUGUGUGUGAGUGUGUGUGUGUGUGUCAUGGCUGCUGGCCGGCGCUUCACCGCUGUCACCGUGGGACCCUCUUCUCCCAGCCUGUCCAACCCUCACUCGCUCGCCGCCACUCGCACCAGCUGCGCUUGCUGCAGCGACGCAGCUCUCUCUCUCUCUCUCUCUGGGUGCACGUACGCGUCACGGCUUCACCACCCCCAUCAACGGCACUCCUCCUCCACCCUCGACAUCCACGCACACAAACAACUGCUCCUUCUCUUUGUCCUUUUUGGUGCGUCACACCUGUUUCGCUCCUGCAACGCUGUGCGCCGACAUCCCCCGCUCUGCCUCGCAUCCCUCUCUUCGGUCUUCUCUGUCGCCCUCUGGCCUCGACGUUGCUGAGGGUUCACGCAG